CCCAGAACUGAUAAUGAGUUCAUUGCUUAUGAGAUCCCUAGUUUACCUCUUGGCUGUCAUGUAACUUUCCAAUAAAUUACAUCUUGAUAAUCAGAUCAAGUAUAUAUAUAUAUAUAUGGCAAUCAAAAUAAUCUUUUCUUCCAGCAGUAAAGGAAUAGCUCUGAAUCUCAGCUGCUUUCCUAGACACAAACACUGAUGGAUGGAAAAAGAAGAAGAGACAAGUGCACUGAAAUGAUUUCCAAAGUGUGGGUUGGAUUCUAAUAAAACCAAGAACAACAACUGUGGCGAGAAAGAGAUAGAUGUUCAGCUUAAUAGCAUGAUUUCAGUAUCUGACGUUUAACCAAUUAUUGUUGGACUAUCCACCAUGAUAGCUUCAAUUCCUGAAAGGUACAACUGUAAGGAGAAUGAAAAACUGGUUACAGGACACAUUUUGAAAUUGCUGCUUUAGGAAGAGUUGUAUCUCUGAACUAUAGAGUAUCAAUGUACAAGUAAGUGGGGGAAAUGAUUGGGCCUUGUAACUGCCAUUAGACUUGCAUGCAGAAGAG
Molecule: long non-coding RNA, 545 nt
Filed under: Podarcis lilfordi (Lilford's wall lizard)
Lineage: Eukaryota; Metazoa; Chordata; Lepidosauria; Squamata; Lacertidae
Source: RNAcentral